RNAcentral lists this ribosomal RNA (498 nucleotides) under uncultured Pseudomonadota bacterium. RNAcentral describes it as "bacterial SSU rRNA". It matches the Rfam family "Bacterial small subunit ribosomal RNA", at positions 381 to 896 of the family's 1533-position model. Lineage: Bacteria; Pseudomonadati; Pseudomonadota. The record is from RNAcentral.
GCCUGAUCCAGCAAUGCCGCGUGAGUGAUGAAGGCCUUAGGGUUGUAAAGCUCUUUUACCCGGGAUGAUAAUGACAGUACCGGGAGAAUAAGCUCCGGCUAACUCCGUGCCAGCAGCCGCGGUAAUACGGAGGGAGCUAGCGUUAUUCGGAAUUACUGGGCGUAAAGCGCACGUAGGCGGCUUUGUAAGUUAGAGGUGAAAGCCUGGAGCUCAACUCCAGAAUUGCCUUUAAGACUGCAUCGCUUGAAUCCAGGAGAGGUGAGUGGAAUUCCGAGUGUAGAGGUGAAAUUCGUAGAUAUUCGGAAGAACACCAGUGGCGAAGGCGGCUCACUGGACUGGUAUUGACGCCGAGGUGCGAAAGCGUGGGGAGCAAACAGGAUUAGAUACCCUGGUAGUCCACGCCGUAAACGAUGAUAACUAGCUGUCGGGGCUCUUAGAGCUUCGGUGGCGCAGCUAACGCAUUAAGUUAUCCGCCUGGGGAGUACGGCCGCAAGGUUA